UGGACUGUAGCCUUCAAAAUCCCAUUCCUGCUCUUUUCCCGCGAUUCAUCAAACACAUUUAGUGUGUCUGACUUGUGGUCAGACUCGCUCAAGUGGAACAAAUUUAAAUGUGUGCCUUUGUGUCAAAGAUUACAUGUAAUCCGUUACUCCCCAACCCCGGAUUCCUGACAACGCCUAGUAUAUUGAGAUUGCGUCACCUGUGGAUCUGUUGGGGCGGGAUGCGAACUGGAGUGGGUGUAGGGUUUCGGGAAUGAUGGUGUUGAUGUGAGCCAUGACCAGCCUUUCAACGCACUUCAUGGCUACCGACGCAGACUUUGCAGUGCCUCCAUGUGCGACUGCCUUGAGCCGCAGAUUGAGGGACUUCGGAGGGGAAACGCUGAGCAGUGAGGCGUAGGGAAUUGUCUACAGUAGGACGACCCCCAGUGGAUGGACGCCGAGGGGUGAGGUGCUCCUCCGGCAGCUCUCUCAUAAGGUUCUCUCUGUACGUUUGGUGGGUCAUCACCUCACCUACGGUUGAGAGGGAGUGGAGAGGGUGAUGAGGGAGUUGGUAGGUGGGUGAGAUAUUUUCAAUAUAAUUGCAUACUGGAACUGUAUGUCAAUAAUUUGAUUUUUUUAUGUGUUCCGUAAUCAUCUCACUUGUUAGCUGGCGGUGAACUAUGUGGCCAUUGAGGACAGCAAUGUGGAUCAGAUGGAAAAAUAUCUUCUUGGACCACUUGGUGGUCCACCUUCCCUGUGGCCGACAAGGACAUCUUGUUUGUCAUGCCACUGUUGACUGUUCUGAAUGCACCAAUGUGCCCCUAUGCUGUUGGAGAACAGAUGCUGGAAGAGUGUGGGACUGCUGCACCAAUCCUCAAAGACCCGGACACUCCAAGCCCCUCAUAAUGCUGGAUGUCAGUGGUGGACCCUGUGUAGAGUAUAAUGUCCUGGACAAAUCCUGUCUUCGUGUCACACAUAACAAAGCACUUGACCCCUAACCUGUGCCUUUUGGAGGGAAUAUAUUGAUGGAAAGCCAUCCUACCCUUCCAUAACAUCAGGGACUGACGAACUAACACAGCAGGUUAAGUGAAUUAAAGUAGCAGGUUAGGAGAAUAAGUUUAAGGUUAGGAAAAGGGUUAGGCUUAGCUAUACUACUACAAUUGGCAACAACAGUCCUGAUGCGACCACUAGAUAAAGCAGAUUUUUGUGUGUAAUAUUUUAUUAUAUUUUUCAAAAUAUUAACAAACACAGACAAAAGACAACAGACAGAGACACACACAAACAUCAACGACAUCACCCCUGCCCAGACCCACAUGCUUCCACCGCCUUUUUCUCCAGCGCCUGCAAGACUAUUCCACAUGACCUCAAACUGCGCCACUCUGCACUUCUCUGUCGCCCACACACUUUCAAUAUUUGAUUCUUCCUCCGGCCCCUUGAUUUUCAGUUUUUAAGCAAAAGGUUUUUUUGGUUUUUUUUAAUAAUUGACGAGAAUAGUACGGUCCAACCGAUUGGAAAUCUCACCAUACCCGCGGUGUCUUGAAAUAUACAGAUAGACGGAUUAAAAGUAUAUUUAUAUUGUAAAACUUCUGACAGCCAACUUUCUAACUUUUGGACUAUAGCACUCUCAGGAGGCAUGAAUAAUUGAGUCACCACUGUUAGUUUUACACUUAAGACAUAUGUCUCUGCAAUUGUGCUGCAGAAUUUGUAAAUUUGGACUGUAUAAUAAAUAUAUACAUUAGUUUAUAUUGGAUAAAGUGUACGUUUUCGUUAACUGUAAUUUUGUUAGUUAUGUUCCAAUAGUCCCUCCAUCUUGUGCCAAUAUCAGUUAUUGUUAGGUCUUGGUUCCAAUAGUUUAUAUUUUUUGGAUAGGCUUUCUUCAAGGUUUUGUAUACCUUACCAAUCAUGUGAGCAUAAUUUUCUGACACAAAUAAAAUUCCCUCAACAUUGCUCUGAUGUCCAAAAGAUUUCAGAUUUAAAUUUCGUGAUAUAAAACUUUUAAAUUGCA
This 1981-nucleotide long non-coding RNA is filed under the name Salmo salar (Atlantic salmon). Its description in RNAcentral is "lncRNA (ENSSSAG00000095604.1)". The record is from RNAcentral. Lineage: Eukaryota; Metazoa; Chordata; Actinopteri; Salmoniformes; Salmonidae.